CCUACGGGUGGCUGCAGUGGGGAAUAUUGGACAAUGGGCGAAAGCCUGAUCCAGCCAUGCCGCGUGUGUGAAGAAGGCCUUCGGGUUGUAAAGCACUUUCAGUGGGGAAGAAAGCCUUGGGGCUAAUACCCUCGAGGAAGGACAUCACCCACAGAAGAAGCACCGGCUAACUCCGUGCCAGCAGCCGCGGUAAUACGGAGGGUGCGAGCGUUAAUCGGAAUUACUGGGCGUAAAGCGCGCGUAGGCGGUCUGAUAAGCCGGUUGUGAAAGCCCCGGGCUCAACCUGGGAACGGCAUCCGGAACUGUCAGGCUAGAGUGCAGGAGAGGAAGGUAGAAUUCCCGGUGUAGCGGUGAAAUGCGUAGAGAUCGGGAGGAAUACCAGUGGCGAAGGCGGCCUUCUGGACUGACACUGACGCUGAGGUGCGAAAGCGUGGGUAGCAAACAGGAUUAGAUACCCGUGUACUC
RNAcentral lists this ribosomal RNA (465 nucleotides) under Vreelandella stevensii. Its description in RNAcentral is "partial 16S ribosomal RNA". It matches the Rfam family "Bacterial small subunit ribosomal RNA", at positions 338 to 795 of the family's 1533-position model. The record is from RNAcentral. Lineage: Bacteria; Pseudomonadati; Pseudomonadota; Gammaproteobacteria; Oceanospirillales; Halomonadaceae.